RNAcentral lists this ribosomal RNA (313 nucleotides) under uncultured delta proteobacterium. RNAcentral's name for it is "bacterial SSU rRNA". It matches the Rfam family "Bacterial small subunit ribosomal RNA", at positions 536 to 847 of the family's 1533-position model. Lineage: Bacteria; Deltaproteobacteria. The record is from RNAcentral.
AAGCGUUGUUCGGAUUUAUUGGGCGUAAAGCGCGUGUAGGCGGCUUCUUAAGUCUGAUGUGAAAGCCCUGGGCUCAACCCGGGAAGUGCAUUGGAAACUGGGAAACUUGAAUACGGGAGAGGGUAGUGGAAUUCCUGGUGUAGGAGUGAAAUCCGUAGAUAUCAGGAGGAACACCGGUGGCGAAGGCGGCUGCCUGGACCGAUAUUGACGCUGAGACGCGAAAGCGUGGGGAGCAAACAGGAUUAGAUACCCUGGUAGUCCACGCCGUAAACGAUGAGUACUAGGUGUUGCGGGUAUUGACCCCUGCAGUGCC